Transfer RNA from Penicillium antarcticum, 81 nucleotides. It matches the Rfam family "tRNA". Rfam says of the family: Transfer RNA (tRNA) molecules are approximately 80 nucleotides in length. NCBI's taxonomy places the organism in Eukaryota, Fungi, Ascomycota, Eurotiomycetes, Eurotiales, Aspergillaceae. The record is from Rfam.
GUCAGUUUGGCCGAGUGGUUAAGGCGAUUGACUCGAAAUCAAUUCCGUUCGCGGGCGUAGGUUCGAAUCCUACAGCUGACG